AUUGUCUCAUGAAGAGUGCACUGGUGCACAAGCUUCUUGCUAGCAAUGAUGAUGGCAUGUUUGCUGAGUAAGGCAACACUCUCCAUGUCAUUAGACCAAACAACAUAUUUGACAAAAGGUGUUUGAAGAUCCCCAAGAACAAGCCUUUGCUGGAGAUCAAAUAUGACUACUCUAUCCUCUGCUCUGCAAAGCAAGUUACC
RNAcentral lists this unclassified non-coding RNA (200 nucleotides) under Hevea brasiliensis (rubber tree). Lineage: Eukaryota; Viridiplantae; Streptophyta; Magnoliopsida; Malpighiales; Euphorbiaceae. The record is from RNAcentral.